CGACGUUUGACUCCUGGCUCUGAAGUCAACGCUGGCGGCGUGCCUCAGACAUGCGAGUCGAACGAUUGAAUACUUUCCUUUGGGGAAGAUACUAAAGUGGCGCACGGGUGAGUAACACAUAGGUACAUGUACCUUUGGGNGGGGAAUAACUUACGUGGAAACUUAAGCUAAUACCGCAUAAUACAGUCGGCUCCUACGGGAGACACUUGUUACACACUUAUCACCCACAGAGCAGUCCUACCGCAGCUUAGCUACUAGGUAUCGUAACGGCUGACCAUCUGCUACUAUCUGUGACCGACCUGAUAGGGUGGUCAGACACUACUGACUCUGAAUAACAGGUCAGACUCCUAAGGGACGCAGCUACCUCCGGACUGCCUUGGCUAUGUGCCGACUUCCUGCACCCUUGGCCCACGACCUCGUUCGAAGGGAUGAGCGCUCUCCUCUAGGGGAUGUUUAUGACUCCUUUUAAUNAAUUNUGUACAGUUNUNUUUCGACCCGUUCCUAUUCGGUGUCGGUAAUCCGCUUAUCCUUACUCUNUCUGGUUAACCCCUUUUNUCUUUCCCUAAGGGACCCUAAUUCNUUCCUUAAGGGAUUUCAUUUUUGGACGUCAAAAUGGNCUUCUUUNGCCGCUUU
RNAcentral lists this ribosomal RNA (633 nucleotides) under uncultured bacterium. RNAcentral's name for it is "partial 16S ribosomal RNA". The stretch from base 53 to 361 matches the Rfam family "Bacterial small subunit ribosomal RNA", at positions 57 to 352 of the family's 1533-position model. The record is from RNAcentral.